This 103-nucleotide ribosomal RNA is filed under the name uncultured bacterium. RNAcentral describes it as "partial 16S ribosomal RNA". The record is from RNAcentral.
UACACACCGCCCGUCACACCAUGGGAGUUUGGUUUUUACCUUUAAGACUGUGCGCUAACCGCAAGGAGGCAGCAGGCCACGGUAAGGUCAGCGACUGGGGGUG